RNAcentral lists this long non-coding RNA (314 nucleotides) under Sus scrofa (pig). RNAcentral's name for it is "lncRNA (ENSSSCG00030059357.1)". The record is from RNAcentral. Lineage: Eukaryota; Metazoa; Chordata; Mammalia; Artiodactyla; Suidae.
CCCCAUCAGAUUUUUAAACUUUAAAAUUUGUUGUAAUUUCUUUUCUCAUUCUAAACAACUGUUCCUUUUUGUACGCUUAAUUCACUGUUUGUAUCUUGUGUUCUUUUUAUUGAAGGUGAUGCUAAAGAUUAUACUAGCUUUAGGCCCCACAAAGCAUGGAUCCACCCCUGUCUACCAGCAGAGCAGAUGGGGGAAAGCUACUAUGGAUGGGAAAAAUCGAGGGACAGAGAACAAGAGUCUUAUUUCAGACCACAUUCAUCACAAAGAUUCUUCCAGCCAGCAGACUCUGCUCUAUGAAAGAAGCUGCUCACAUC